UCGAGCGAGACCAGGCCUUCGGGCCUGGGGACAGCGGCGAACGGGUGAGUAACACGUGGGUAAUCUGCCCUCGAUUCUGGGAUAGCCCGGGGAAACCCGGAUUAAUACCGGAUAGCCUCUCGAGCUCAUGGGCUCGUGAGAAAAGGUAGCUUCGGCCUCCGAUCGAGGAUGAGCCCGCGGCGGAUUAGCUUGUUGGUGGGGUAACGGCUCACCAAGGCGACGAUCCGUAGCUGGUCUGAGAGGACGAUCAGCCACACUGGGACUGAGACACGGCCCAGACUCCUACGGGAGGCAGCAGUGGGGAAUCUUGCGCAAUGGGCGAAAGCCUGACGCAGCGACGCCGCGUGGGGGAAGAAGGCCUUCGGGUUGUGAACCUCUUUCAGCAGGGACGAAGCCACUCGGGUGAAUAGCCCAGAGGGUGACGGUACCUGCAGAAGAAGCCCCGGCUAACUACGUGCCAGCAGCCGCGGUAAUACGUAGGGGGCAAGCGUUG
Molecule: ribosomal RNA, 493 nt
Filed under: uncultured bacterium
Lineage: Bacteria
Description: bacterial SSU rRNA
Rfam family: Bacterial small subunit ribosomal RNA
Source: RNAcentral